UCUUGAAGGGCUUGCAACACC
Molecule: unclassified non-coding RNA, 21 nt
Filed under: Chlamydomonas reinhardtii
Lineage: Eukaryota; Viridiplantae; Chlorophyta; Chlorophyceae; Chlamydomonadales; Chlamydomonadaceae
Description: small RNA Cre_2821
Source: RNAcentral